CCGGACCGGCACGGGUGAGUAACGCGUAUCCAACCUGCCCUUUACUAUGGGACAGCCCGUCGAAAGGCGGAUUAAUACCGUAUGUUGUCAUGUUGAUGCAUAUUUUCAUGACCAAAGGCUUCGGCCGGUAAAGGAUGGGGAUGCGUCUGAUUAGCUUGCCGGCGGGGUAACGGCCCACCGGGGCGACGAUCAGUAGGGGUUCUGAGAGGAAGGUCCCCCACAUUGGAACUGAGACACGGUCCAAACUCCUACGGAAGGCAGCAG
RNAcentral lists this ribosomal RNA (264 nucleotides) under uncultured bacterium. Its description in RNAcentral is "partial 16S ribosomal RNA". It matches the Rfam family "Bacterial small subunit ribosomal RNA", at positions 90 to 354 of the family's 1533-position model. The record is from RNAcentral.